Molecule: long non-coding RNA, 447 nt
Organism: Mandrillus leucophaeus (drill)
Lineage: Eukaryota; Metazoa; Chordata; Mammalia; Primates; Cercopithecidae
Exons: 2
Source: RefSeq, a predicted model, not a curated record
CACCAGGUGUCAACCCCACCAGGUAGCCAACCCCACCUGGCUAGGACCCAGUCCCUAGCUGCUCAAGACUGAGGCUGAGACGGGCGACCAGGAAGGGACUGUAUGGCUGUAGGAGGCCACACAGCCCCAGGAGGCUGCUUCGAAGAGGCCCACAUGGCCUGCAUGGGGAUGAGCCUAGCUGUCCAGCAUGUGGUCAUUUGAAUUGCACAUGUUUCAAUAGGAGGCCUACAGAACGGUAGACAGGAGAUCUGGAAAAAGUUUUUGAAAUGUUGUAAACUUAGCUACUUUAAAAAUAAAAAAAAAGCUUUAUGAUUAUAAAAGCAAUACAUCUCAAGUGUAAAUGCUAAAAUUUGCUGCAUUAUAGUAAGCAUUUUAUGAUCGCCAUGCACCCUAUACCAUUAUGUUGUAUAGUUUAAAUAUAUGUAAUAAAAUUUCUUUUAAAAAAUA